UACGUAGGGUGCAAGCGUUGUCCGGAAUUAUUGGGCGUAAAGAGCUCGUAGGCGGUCUGUCACGUCGGCUGUGAAAUCCCGAGGCUCAACCUCGGGUCUGCAGUCGAUACGGGCAAACUAGAGUAUUGCAGGGGAGACUGGAAUUCCUGGUGUAGCGGUGGAAUGCGCAGAUAUCAGGAGGAACACCGAUGGCGAAGGCAGGUCACUGGGCCGCAACUGACGCUGAGGAGCGAAAGCAUGGGGAGCGAACAGG
RNAcentral lists this ribosomal RNA (253 nucleotides) under uncultured bacterium. RNAcentral's name for it is "partial 16S ribosomal RNA". It matches the Rfam family "Bacterial small subunit ribosomal RNA", at positions 524 to 776 of the family's 1533-position model. The record is from RNAcentral.